This is a long non-coding RNA of Neogobius melanostomus (round goby), 2872 nucleotides long. NCBI's taxonomy places the organism in Eukaryota, Metazoa, Chordata, Actinopteri, Gobiiformes, Gobiidae. The record is from Ensembl.
UGAUUCUGGUUCUGGUUCUGGUUCUGGUUCUGGUUCUGGUUCUGGUUCUGAUUCUGGUUCUGGUUCUGGUUCUGGUUCUGGUUCUGAUUCUGAUUCUGGGCCGUGUGUUCAGGAUCUGGGAGUGACUAAAGUGGGCCACAUGAAGAGGAUCCUCCAGGGCAUCAGGGAGCUGCACCGGAGCAGCAGCGCCAGCGAGGCCUGAGUUUCAGCCUGACCUCGUCCUCCUCUGACCUCAGAUCCAGCCGUGCCUUUGAACCGGACCAACGACCUCCUCCACCAAAACUUCACUCUCAGGUCGAGCUCCUCCAGCUCCAGCUCACACUCAUCGGUUUUAAAGAAGGACGACAGAGGGACCUCACAGGGACCUCAGAGGGACCUCAGAGGGACCUCACAGGGACCUCCACAGGGACCUCAGAGGGACCUCCACAGGGACCUCAGAGGGACCUCCACAGGACCUCAGAGGGACCUCAGAGGGACCUCACAGGGACCUCAGAGGGACCUCAGAGGGACCUCAGAGGGACCUCACAGGACCUCAGAGGGACCUCAGAGGGACCUCCACAGGGACCUCAGAGGGACCUCAGAGGGACCUCAGAGGGACCUCAGAGGGACCUCAGAGGACCUCACAGGGACCUCAGAGGGACCUCACAGGGACCUCAGAGGGACCUCCACAGGACCUCAGAGGGACCUCAAGAGGGACCUCCACAGGGACCUCAGAGGGACCUCAGAGGGACCUCAGAGGGACCUCAGAGGGACCUCACAGGGACUCAGAGGGACCUCACAGGGACCUCAGAGGGACCUCACAGGGACCUCAGAGGGACCUCAGAGGGACCUCCACAGGGACCUCAGAGGGACCUCAGAGGGACCUCAGAGGGACCUCAGAGGGACCUCAGAGGGACCUCAGAGGGACCUCCACAGGGCCGCAGGCCACCGAGAACCACUGAGCGAGAAACUAUUUCCCCGACUUUGCUACAGGAACUUGAACCUGUCACAUUUCAGCUGGACUUUUAUCAUGAAACAAUCCAGAAUCUGAGCUCCCUUUAACACGCCCCUGCACCUCUGUGACCACGCCCCCUGCCCCUCUGUGACCACGCCCUUUAAGUCCAGACGCUGCAGGUGAAAUCAGUCAAACCUAACUCUCCCUUUACAAUUUCAGGACGUUUUGUCGCUCCCUGGUCUUUCCCACACCUUCCCAAAUACUGACAUGUUUGGUAUCCAUGUGUAGCAAGGUUGGGUAAUGGGGAGAGUCGGGACGUUUCUCAGUGGGCCACGGGGCUUUUGUGCCGUUAGAAUAAAAUCAUGAAUAACAGACUCAGUUGUUCCAGGCCUAAAGCUUUAAAGUCCAUAUGACAGAUUUUAAUGCUCUUAAAUAUGACUUAUUUAGAUGGAUCACAUCAGUUGCAUAGUUUUCAUUUUUUUCAGUGAAGCAGCAAUUUUAAUGAAGAAAUGUUGGGCAGAAAAGUUAUUUUUAUUUGAAUUUUUAAGCUGCUGACAGGAAGUGACAUAAAAGAAGGAAACAUUCCAUGUCAUUAAUCCAGAGCAGAUUUUUCACCUGCAGCGUGUGGCUAAACCUGGACACUGUGACCGAUCAGAGACCGACUCUGUGGAUAUUUUAUACUAAAAACAUAUAUUUAUUUGUGGUUUAUCUGAAACUGUGGACGAAGAGGACGACGAGACUCGCCUUCAGCCGAACCUGCUCCAAACAAAUCUCCUCAGAUAUCCACAAGAGAGACGUGGACGAGUGUGUCCUCCUUAGAGCUGGGCACUGUUACAUACAGAUCUUUAACGAUACUUUUUACUGAUACUAAAAUAUGUGUGAAAGAUCUGCACAUUUAUCAGGUUCAUCUGCAAUGUCCAGAAAUGUGGAAAAAAUGAGGAAGAAUUUGUGAAAAAAAUGAGGGAACAACGGGGCAAAAAUAAGAGAGUUGUGUAAAUAAAAUGUGGAAAAAUGGCAAACAUUUGUUAAAAAAACAAUGGGAAUAAAUGUGGUUAAAAUGGGGACGAAUCGAGAAAAUAUUAGUCAUAAAAAAUUAGCAAAAUAAGAAAAGUUGUGAAAAAAAUAUGGAAAAAUAGGGCAAAUGUUGGGCAAAAAAUAAAAAAUAGGCGGCAAAGAUGAGCAAAAAUAGGGAAAUAAGUGGAGGGAAAUUUGGGGGAAAUCGUUUGGGAAUAGGGAAAAUAUUAGUCAUGAAAAUGAGGGAUAACAAUUUUGAAAAAUGGGGCAAACAUUGGGCAAAAGAUGUAGGAAAUAGGUGGAAAAAGUCAUUUAUUUGAGCUGAAAGAACCAAGUCACUUCCUUUAAUCCUGACCCUGGACCAACAGCAGCAAAACCUGAAUCAAUCAAUGGUUUUGUAUUUCUCAAUAUCACAACAGGAGUUUCCUCACAGCUGCACCGAACAUUAAGGCAAUAAAACAGUAAAUAAGACAAUGUAAAGUUCAGGUGAAUUUUUUUUUUGGUUCCUGCUUUUGAUACUUAUACUUUGAUACCAAUAGAACCGACUUUUUUUUUUUUAAAUACCAGACUGGUGUCGUUUAACGGUGCCCAGCCUGAGUGUGUCCACCAGGGGGCAGAGUUGGCUGAACGCGGCGUCUCCUCGAGUCUCAUGUUUAAACUGUCGUGUGUUUGUCUUAAUGUUCAGUGUUUUAUCAUCGACCUGUUUCUGCCUUAAACUCGUCUGUAACAAAAACGACUCCGACUCUUUCUGUGGGGGAUGGGAGUGACGUUCCACUCAGGUUCACAUCAGCAGAGGAACGGGAAAAACAACAGGGCUCAGUUUGGGAAAGAAAUGUCCAAAUGUUUUCCCUGAUCAUUAUUGGAAACCUGCCACUUUCACAUUUAUUCCUUUAUUCGUAUUUCUGAUUACUCAGUUCUUUUCCC